AGAGUUUGAUCCUGGCUCAGACGAUGGCUGUGGGCGUGCCUUUUACAUGCCAGGCCAGGGGAAUUGAUGACGAGCUUGCUUCUUUGAGACUUGCCGGACAUCGGGUGAGUAACACGUGGGCAACCUGCCCUCAAGUUUGGGACAACUACCCUUCCCGGUAGCUAAUACCGAAUAAUGGUUUUCUUCGCCUGAUGGAAACUGGUCUCACUGAGCAAUCUGCCACUUGGGGAUGGGCCUGCGGCGCAUUCUCUAGUUGGUGGGGUAACGGCUCACCAAGGCGACGAUGCCCCGCCGACCUGAAAGGGCGAUCGGCCACACUGGGACUGAUAGUCUGCCCCCACUCCUACCUUAGGCAGCAGUAGGGAAUCUUCCGCAAUGGCUGAAGGCCUGACGGAUUUUGCCGCGUGAGUGAUGAAGGUUUUCGGAUCGUAAAGCUCUGUUGCCCUAUUUAACGCUUGGGAGAGUAACUGCUCUCGGGUGACGGUACCUGAGAAGAAAGCCCCGGCUAACUAGUUGCCAGAACCCCCAUUAGUUCAUAUUUCGCAAGCGUUGUCCGGAAUUAUUGGCUCAUGAGCGCGCGCACGCGAUCAUUGCAUUCUGGUGUUUAAUCCCGGGGCUCAACCACGGAUCGCACUGUCCACUGCGUGACUUGACUGCAUAUUACGAGAGUGUGCCUUCCACGUGUAUGGUCGAACUGCGUAGAUAUGUGGAGGAACACAUGCUGGAGAAUGCGACUCUCUGGCCUGUGACUGACGCUGAGGUGCAUAAGCGUGGCGAUAAAUGCGUGGAUAAGCAAACAGCGAUUAGAUACAACGGUAGUCCACGUGCGUACACGAUGAGUGCUAGCUGUUAGGGGAUUCGAUACCGAGAUGCCGAAGUUAACACAAUGAGCACUCCGCAUGGUGAGUGCGGUGACAAGGCUGAACCUCAAUGGAAUAAGCGGCAACCUGCGCACACAAGAGAGUAUGAGGUAUAAUUCGAAGCGACGCGAAGAGCCUUUUCAGGUCUCGACAUCCCUUUGAUCGGUACAGAGAUGUAUCUGUCUUUCGGGACAGAGGAGACAGGUGGUGCAUGGUUGUCGUCAGCCAGUGUCGUGAGAUGUUGGGUUAAGUCCCGCAACGAGCGCCAUCCUUGAUACUAGUUGCCACCAUUUUGGAUGGGCGCUUUAAGGGGUCUCCCGGUGACAACCCGGAGGAAGGUGGGGACGACGUCAAAUCAUCGUGCGCCCUAUGGCAUGGACUCCACGCGUGAUGCAACGGACGAUCCAACGGUCUGCGAAGCCCCGAGGUGUAACGAAUCCUAAAAAGCCGGUCUCAGUUCGCAUUGCAGGUUUCAACUCGCGAACAUGAAGUCGGAAUUGCUAGUAAUCGCGGAUCAGCAUGCUCGCGGUGAAUACGUUCCCAGGUCUUGUACACACCGCUCGUCACACCACGAGAGUUUAUAACACCAGAAGUCGACGGGGUAACCCCAAGGACCCAUCCGCCCAAGGUGGGAUAGAUGAGCGGGGUGACCCAAUGGAACAAUGCUGAA
This 1530-nucleotide ribosomal RNA is filed under the name uncultured Paenibacillus sp. RNAcentral's name for it is "partial 16S ribosomal RNA". It matches the Rfam family "Bacterial small subunit ribosomal RNA". The record is from RNAcentral. Lineage: Bacteria; Bacillati; Bacillota; Bacilli; Caryophanales; Paenibacillaceae.